GCCUCUUUGGCUAAGGGGUACAGCGUCGCACUUGUACUACAUUCGUGUGAUAAUGCGCGAGUUGGGAUGAAUGCGAAGAUCAAGAGUUCAAAUCUCUUAGGAGGCA
Tilletiaria anomala is the source of this 106-nucleotide transfer RNA. It matches the Rfam family "tRNA". Rfam says of the family: Transfer RNA (tRNA) molecules are approximately 80 nucleotides in length. Their secondary structure includes four short double-helical elements and three loops (D, anti-codon, and T loops). Further hydrogen bonds mediate the characteristic L-shaped molecular structure. tRNAs have two regions of fundamental functional importance: the anti-codon, which is responsible for specific mRNA codon recognition, and the 3' end, to which the tRNAs corresponding amino acid is attached (by aminoacyl-tRNA synthetases). tRNAs cope with the degeneracy of the genetic code in two manners: having more than one tRNA (with a specific anti-codon) for a particular amino acid; and 'wobble' base-pairing, i.e. permitting non-standard base-pairing at the 3rd anti-codon position. Lineage: Eukaryota; Fungi; Basidiomycota; Exobasidiomycetes; Georgefischeriales; Tilletiariaceae. The record is from Rfam.